CUUUUGCAGGUAGCGCAAUUAAGUUGGAUCGAAAGGAAGGCAGCUGCAACUUUCUAUGGAACACCUCCAAGUUCCACUGUUGAUGAGGCUCUAAAAAACUUUUUAAAGGCUGAAGAAUUGAAACCAGAAUACUCCAAAGUGAACUCGGUCUACAUUGCAAAGUGCUACAGGGAUCUUGGGAGCUAUGCCACUGCCCUACAUUGGCUUGAAUUAGCAUCUGCGUUACCCAUCAAAUCUAAGGAGGAUGCAAAUGCCGCGAGUGAACUACUAGAAAUGCAAAAUGUCCUCAGCCUAAGAAGCUAAACACUGUCCUGUUUUAAGCAUAAGAGCUUAGAAGGUCUUUGUUCCACUGCAGAAUAUCCUUGUGUUAUGUAAAGAACUUUGAAUCCAACUUGUCCUGUUAUUCUGGUAUUUUAUUCUGUCUCUGAAGAACCAUAAAAUAUCAUAAAUCAUGUCAACUUGAUGGUCAGAGGUUGAGAAUGUUCUUCAAAUCUCAAAGAGACCACUCUUUUCUCAAACCCUUACAUACAGGAGAUAGAUAUUGGAUCCCAAAGAGUUGACUGAUUUAUUUUCCUCUGGCAGCCGAGACUUCCUAUACUGUAUGAAGAGACUGGCUUGUCUCCUGUAUGUAAAAGAAAUCUAUUUUUCAUGGUUUCUAUUCAUAUUCUUCUAACAGGAGCUUCAAAUGGGCUAAUUUUAAGAUUGUUUCCUUCAAUUUAUUUGGAUAAGCAUACAAGAGGUAUAUGCACAGAUGUAAGGAAGACAUUGUCCUUUUUUUAAGGUAAUGCAGCAUAUAAAUUUCCAGGAUCACAGAAUUGGUGUUUCAGAAGACUCUGAUUUUGGAAGUUUGUACUGUUAUUGUGCAUUUGCCUCAACACAUUUAUAGUGCUUGUGUACCUUUGUGACUUACAAAAUGACUGUUUAGAAGCAUGAUGAAAUGUUUUCCAUUCGACUGAGCAAUGAGUUCAUAAAAAUACUUAAAGAUGGAAGCUGUUCGUUCAGCAAAAUGAACGUGUAGUGAUCAUUCAGAGCAAAGCAAACUAGGUUGGAUUCUCACUCUAUGUUGCCAUUAAUCAAGUUCAGAUAACAAUGCCACAGAUGGCCUUCAACACCCUGGCCUAAAGAGAGGAGAAAACCAGUCAAUAUUUACUCAAUUAAUGAGUGCAGAAGGUGUACAUUUGUGUGAAGUUGUGAGAAGAGGGCCAAGAUCAGACCUGGGGGGUGUGUGGCAUCAUGGUAAUGUCACUGGGCUUGUAAUCUGGUGGCCCAGGAUAAUGCUGUGAGGACACAGGUUCACAUAUCACCAAUUCACCAAUUCAAUUGAUAUAUCUGAAAUUAAAAACUUGUCCUUUAGGAAAAGAAUCAUUACGUUGUCUGGCCUGCAUGUGACUCCAGACUGACCGCAAUGUGGGGUGCUCUCUGAAAGAGGCAAGUAGCCCCUCUGUUGAAGGGUAAUUGGGCACUGACAACAAAUGCUGACCUUGCUCAUGAUGCCCACAUCCUAUGAAAGUUUUUUUUUUAAUUUUUCCUUGAUCUGCCAGCUCUUACUGUCUAAAUGCAUUUGUGAAGAUUGCGAAGGACAGUUAUGGAACAGAACUCGUGGAGUGACCUAAAUCAGUGGCUUCAGGAUGGUGGUACAGAUUGGAGAGACAGAUGUGUAUUUCUGCAUUGCACAGCAAAAACUAUCAUCUCCAUUUCACCAGCUACAAUAUUUAGAUUUAACUUAGGUGUGAGAUUGAUUUGUUACCAUUUGAUAAUCUUAUUUUCAUAGAACAGCAAAUUGCUAAUGCAGUGCAAAUGGUCAUCUGCUGUAGCUUCAUGAUGAAGAAGCAGAUAAAUUUCAGUGUCUAUUAUUUGACUUGGGAGUAAGAUCUCCAUUUAUAGUUCAAAUAUAUUUGAAAUAAGGCAAAGUGCAGAACCUUUAUAUAAAAAUCCAAAUAAGUUAAUGUUUGAGUGUUCUUCACAGCAAUUCAAGCAAGAUAUCUGCAAGUUAAGCAAAUAACCAGGUGCUAAGAUUAGCUUAGUACUGCUGCUAUACCCAGCAAAGGCACUGUUUUUCAUUUACAAUGAAUGACAAGUGUAGUGUUGGCAGAUAAAAUAGUCACAAAGACACAGAUUACUUUUCUCUGUAGACUAUAGUCAGAUAAGCACAAAGUUCAGGGCUCUUGUGCAUAGAACAAGAAAAUAGUCAGAUUUUCUAGGGCACCUGUAGUGAUGAGAAUUUAUUGAUUGUUUUCAUGUCAAAACUGACUUGUCACCUCAAAUUAUUUGCAGAAACAUUUGGGCCAUUUACUAGGUUUUAAAGGUUUUAAUGUUAGGAACCCCACCCCAAGGGAACUUGUAACGUAACAUUUUCCCCAUCCUUCCACUCAACAUUUAGAAUCUGUAUACUGUGUUAGAUUUUGCGACUGCAACAAAAUGACUUAGCAGCAGGCCUGACAGGAAUCUGCCACAUUUACAUUGAAUGAGAAAUUCUACUACUGCUGUAUCAGCAACAAAAACUGAUCCUGCCAUUAUCCGAUGGAAAAAUAAUAAACAACAUGGUCAUUCUGGAAUGCUACACUUUAGGUAUUAAAUAAUAAUGAAUGAUAUAUAACUUGACAAUCAUCAAAAAUACUGAUCGAUUGAGAUGAAGUACAUGACCAAAAAUUCAUCCAAAUUUUGUAUUUCAGCUCUGUGCAAUUUAUUUUGCAUUGUCCCAAAAGAGACACAGAUCUUUAUAUAACUUACUGCAAAUAACUUUAUAAUAACCUCUUCUCCUAGCAAGCAGCAGUGUUACCACACAGUUUUCUUUGUUUAUGUGGUCAUAUCCAUGGUUAGCCCAUCAACAUUUCAAAGGUCCACUCAAACUUAUUCCUGUGAAAUGACUGUCACUGAAGAGGGGGUGGAAGGCUACAAAUCACCUUCAACUUUCUGACAAAUACUCCUUUGAGUUGCAGAGUCUAUUUCCAAUUCUAAUAUUCUUUGCCUAUUUUGGAUUGGUUCAGUAUGAUUUUGAUACACCUGCUUUAAAACUUUUGCACUGUUUCUAGUGCAUAAAACAACCAAACAGAUAUUGUGAAGAGAAACAAAUUUUAAUGUCCAGUUUUGAGGUUGGCUGAUAUUCACUAUACCACAAUAAAUUAGUCAUUUAUAGGAAAUGAGAAUAUUGAACUCUUCCUCAGUUGCCUUUUCAGUUCCCUGCCUACACCAAUUGACUCACUAAUCUUUGGAAGACAAAUAGCUAAGUGAAAGACCCGACAAUGUGCAAGUUGUUUCUUCUUUUUCUGUAAGGCCCAACAACAUAUUUUCAACCCACUUAACACACUACAGUUUGUCUUUCUCUCCCUUGGGCAUCCAAAACUUUCCAACUAUUCACUUCCUGGACUCCUCUUCGCAAGGACUAUUGAACUUGCAAAUCACUCACUCACUCUCCACUUGGAAUUUGGCUAGCUGUCCUUAUCCUUGUUCCUCAUUUUCUUUGGGCCAUUCCUUCUGUCUUUUAAACCUCAACGUUUCAAGACUAUGUUGCAUUCAAUCUGUGUUCUUAUCUGCUCAUCACCCUUUGCUUAUCCUGUGAGAAAAGUCACAGAAGAGAUAAUAUAUGUAAAAUUACAUGAACACCCUGAAAGCAUUCUACAUUUAGCAGAACCCUUCAAAUUCUUUUCAACUUGAAAUAGACAUUUCUGUGCCAUUCACUUUAAAUAUGCAGUAUGCUCAUGUGGUUUAUAUUUUUGCUUUGAACAAGAACUUGUUCCUUUUAUUAUUUCCAAUUAUUUGAUUGCAGAAACAUUGUACUGUGGGCAAGUAAUGGUCCUCCAUUUGAACUUCUCCCUUCUGAACAUAAGUUCAAACAUAACUGGGGGUCCUUCCAAAGUUCCUAUUUCCCCACAAUUUGGAAUCCAUGGGCAGAGUGUGCAGUUUUCCGACCAUUAGUUUUAAUGUCUGUAAGAUGGGGGUUGGUGCUUUAGUAGUUUCCUAAAAUACACAACCCACAGUCAGGAAUCCUGCUUAUAGUACAGACUGUGAAGAUUGUUCUGUGCAUUCCCAAACUGUCCCCUUGAUUUCAAGACCAGAAGCAUAUCUCGCUAGACCUCAUGAAACAUUUCCUUCAAGGUCAGGAAUUUUCCAAAAUAUAUCUUGACUCUGUUCUCUGAAGAGCAGGUGGAUUGGUUGGAUUGCUAUAUACCACAGAUGUUUUCUUACAAAGCUGCCUGUACCAGGUAUGGAGCAUAGUCCAAUGGUCUUGGGAUCGAUGACAGGUUGUGGUAUUAGGGUGAUUAGAAGAGUGCAAGGUAUAAAGAGACAUCAAACUUAAUUUUUACAGCUUAAAAAAAACAAAGUUGUCAUUCCUGUAGGAGCCUAAUCCUCAGUGACCAGAAUACUGGCCUUGGUUCAGAUUGCUUUAGCUUUUGAGUCAAACAAAUCCAAAACCCACAGCGAAAAAUAACCACAACAUGUUCAUCUUUUCCACAUAGAAUUUGAAGAUAACUUUUCUCUCACACAACUUAUUAUUCAAAUGAUUUUGAGUCAUGUGAAUGUAGGAAUACAUGAAAUCUAGGAUGUGUACAGAACUGAAUGUGAUGGUGUUUGACUGGUCUGUCAGGCUAGAUUGGACCUCAAGUCAUUAGAUGACACAUAUCACUCUCAAGAGACUGACAGACACAUUAGAAAUAUCCACAAAACGUAAACAUAAUAUUUUGCAAAUUAUUGUGAGACAGGUCAGUGCCCAGCACAAUGAAAGUUAUGGGACAACCCAAAUGACAUCUUUCACCAUACCAAAGUGGUUGCAAUGUGUCUGUGUUACAAAUGAGUUAAUUUCCUAGAUGAUGAACUAAUCUAUGAUGUAUGAUACAAAGUGACAGUCUUUUUGUCAGUACGAUGUAGACUGAUGAAUACACUUGAGCGAAUUUUUCCAAAGUGUUUCAAGCCAUCUCUGGUCCAGUUGUCUGGUGAAGGCCUCUUCAGUGUGGAAAUAUAUCUAACUCUCUCCAUCUUUGUAAUGGAUUGUGAAUCUAAUAACAGGAAACUGUGUGGAGUAAGGAGUUCUCAUAGUUUAACAAACUGCAGUAGCACAUUUCACUUGUUGGAUCGAAGGACAACAUAUUGCCAUGUUGUCGCAGAGAUUACUUCAAUAGGAUUCUGUUUCGUAGGUCCCCCACAAAGUGAGUUUAUUCCCUUUGUUAAGCCAAUGGGCAGAGGGAGCAGGCAAUUCAGGAGCAGUAAAAUUUAAAGUAAGUUUACACGUGACACCAUCUUACUCUGCAAUGUAAGGGCAUCUAUGAAUGGAUAGUGUUAUGUGGUGGGGGAGGAGUGGGAUGGGAAUUUAACAAGUUUGGAGAAAUUAAUUUGUCAAUUGGAGGAAAUAAAUAAGUGAGAAUUCCAAUUGAAAGAAUUUUGAAAGAAGAUGAAUCACUGUUGAUUAAAUUUACAAAAAGGGAUGUCUUAAUAAUGUCUAAUCUUUUUCUGUCAUCUGACAAGAUGCCUUCCAAGUAGUAGUAUGCAGCACAGUCAUCCAUUAAAGCAUAGGGAUUAAUAAUGCAUUGCCACUCUCAGGACCACAGGGACUGAUUGUGACUCUGAGUUAGAACGGCAUGAAUCUUCUACAUUGCCUAUUUUCGUAAUGUUGCUGAAUUAUAUCCCACAGGAGUUUUUAUAUUCAAAUUCACUGACAAACAAGCAUGACUAACCAUACCACAUACAGGACAGUGGAUAACAAUAGACUUAUUCAGUGGCAUCACGGUUAUCUAGUCCUCAGCAGUUGGACAGGACCCGGUACUCGGAAGUUGGAGAAGGCCUUGGUCCUCGGCAGGUGGGCUGGCCCCAGUAUUCGGCGAUGGCCGGUUCGUGAAGUAGGAGGCCGUGGACUGAACAAAAAUGACAUUUGUCUUAACUUUGCCUCAUUUUUUAAUGUAAUUUAUGUAACUAAAUGGCACUGUUUUUGUGGUGACUUGCACACACUUUACUGUAUUUUCACAAAUACAAGUAACAAAUUGUCUAUCUUUCUAUGAUGCAAUCUGCUGAAUUGUUAUAUUUGGUUUGUUUGCAUCAAGCAAUCUUGUUUUUGUUUUACAAAAAUUAAAAUUAGCACUAAACAUUUGAAUUUAAAA
Molecule: long non-coding RNA, 6089 nt
Organism: Rhincodon typus (whale shark)
Lineage: Eukaryota; Metazoa; Chordata; Chondrichthyes; Orectolobiformes; Rhincodontidae
Exons: 4
Source: RefSeq, a predicted model, not a curated record